RNAcentral lists this long non-coding RNA (4835 nucleotides) under Daphnia pulicaria. RNAcentral describes it as "uncharacterized LOC124341586". Lineage: Eukaryota; Metazoa; Arthropoda; Branchiopoda; Diplostraca; Daphniidae. The record is from RNAcentral.
UUCAAUUUUCAAAGUUUCGAACAAGCAUGGAAGAUGGAACAAGAGACGAAGUUCAAGAAGAUGUAAAAGAAUCAAUUUGUUUUUAAAUGUACGUGGGCUAAACGAAAAAUAGGACAUCAAAUAAAAUUACAAAAAAAUGUGGUCGUCGUUUCAAUGAACAAACAACAACACAAUACUACAACUGCUCCAACUCCAUGUUUAGCUUUAGCAGAUUUGAGGCCUGUACCAGUCUUCAUAUCUACAAGAUAUCCCAGUUUUUCUUGGGCUGGUAUUGCCUAUCAUCAGCAACAAUCUCGGUUUCAUCAUCACUUGGAUAAACAUCAUCCUGUUUGAUUGGAGAUACUGCCGAUGUUGAUCGAGUUUCGGAUCUCGUCUUCCCCUUUCUUUAAAUCCUCUGUGUCCUCGUGUACACCCAUGUGUGUGUGUGGGGUAUUCAUGAGGACCCAGGCUGUUUUCCUAUCCCAUCCGGAUUCAACGUUUCUGCGGAUGGAGCGCUUUUGGAAGCCUGGCUGUAUUUCCCAGGCUUAAAGGGUUUUUUCCACGAUAAAAUAGCCGAAUAAAAUUUGGACACAAUAAUAGUCGUAUUAGAUGACACAGCCUUGUCGCACCCUGAACGCUAUCUUCCUCUCUCUCUCUCUAUAUCCAAUAAAAUUUUUAAUCAAAGGAUGAUUAUUGCGUUUAGUCGGUCAUAAAAAUCUCGACUUGAAAUAACAGAUGCACGACGGGGCGUCAGGGAUUUACGAUUAUCGCUUAGUGAUUAUAGGUUUGAGCUUCAGGCUAUACAAUCCCACUACAAUAUAAAGCAGAACUCGCCGCCCUAUUUUCCCCCCACAUCCUGUAGACUUCUCUCCAAUAAUUCUGAUAUAUUUUCUUAAAAUAAAAUAAAUGAUAGCUUAUUGUUCCAUCAUACAUCAGUGAUAGGAAAAAGUAUAUAUAUAUAUAUACUUUUUAUAGCACCAGGUGUACCUUGACCACCAUGCUAAAUCUAGCACGAUUCCGCUAUUGACACCAUUAGGUGAAAAAAAUAAAAUAAAUGUUGGAUGUCAGCGCUCCUCUGGAUGUUUAAUUUCUGUAGCUGUUGUAGCUGUCAUAUGACAUAUAAUUUAGCCCGAGUUUUUUUCUUCUUCUUCUUCUUUUAGUAUAGUAUGAGGAGAGUGUCAUAUUCAAGGUCUAAACGUUUCAUUCGUCCUGCCUCUAGCACAAUAGAUUUGGUCUCUGUACUGUAAAAGCAGCGUGCGUCAAUUUUAGACGCGGAAGAAACAUGGUAAGAAGUAGCUAUUACGUUAGUUUUAGUGCUUCAAAGGAUCAAUCCAGUUUGGUGCAUUUUCUUUCGAAUGACAAAUAACGGCCAUAUAAGAUAAACUAUUCAAUUUUCGUGAUAGCAGCAUUAUUAUAUGUGAUUUAGCUUUGAACUUGAAUAUAUUUGUGCCUUGAUGUAUAAAUAUAAUAAUAGGACACUGCCUCGGACAAUCCGCUGUAUUUAGUUAUUUUAUAAAACCACCGACACCCUGUCAUUUGCUAUAGUAGAAUAGCUGCGUUCCACUUAAUGUGAUUUUGACCAAGACACUAUUAUAGCUAAGUUAAAUAAUCCACAGCCUAAAACUAUAGAACUGCUGUCAUUACUUUCUUGAAAUUCUUCUACAAGCAAACAGUAAAAAUGUUUCUAAAAUUACCGCUUUUUUUGUUUACGUAAAAAUGUAUGAAAAGAAAACGUCUAUGUAAAAGUAUACUGUGAAGAAAUCCUCGGAAAUCCUUCAUAAACAGGAUUUGUGUUUUUAAUUGUGGCGAUGCUUCUGCUUUAAAGGCUGAAUGACUUACCAAAGUUUGACAGAUCAUGAUCAGGAAGGGGGCUUGAAAUGUAUUAAGUCCGUCUCACGCAAUCGUGCACGAGUGAGCGCGUUUUAUUUGGCCUCAGGCGUUUCGUCGUCAUGCAAACUGAUUUUAACGAUAAGCAACAAUAAAACUACUAUGGAGCGGAAUCAUCAAGUCGCAGGUAAUACCUUUUUGAUAAUAUAAAAACACUGGCUUAAUGGCCUUUUGUCCCGCCCGGCAUCCAACUAACUUGAUCGAGCUACUGAUCCCGCAUGAUAAUUAGAUUUUGUAACUUAAAUAUAUGAAUUCCCAUUGUGAUGAAACUGACAAGGGCGGAGACAAACUCAAAUUGUCCAGCAGGUAAAAAAAAAAGAAAAAUAAAGAAAAAAAGAAUGGAAAAAUCUUUUACAAUUUAUAAGAUCGAGCAUUCAGAUAAAAUAAUUGUUUUGAGCGCAAUGGAAGAGUGAAACUAAAUAAUUUUCGGUAAAAUGGGAAAACCUUUAGACUUGGUUUUUCGGAAGUGACCGCUUAAGUCUGAUCAUCAUGAAAAGCAUGCCACUAAAACACUAAAGCAGUUAACAACCGGAAAGUAAGGACAAAUUUCUUCUAUCGUCAAUAAAAUAACAAUCAUGCGAACCAAGGAAGGUAAAAUUCAUGAAGCUCCCGCAGUGUCAUGAACCUUUUUAACUCAGUUUAGGAUCUAACCGUCUAAUCAGAGCUUUUCAACACGAAUCCCUAUUUUGAACCUAUAUUGUGGUUCGGUAGCCACCGUAGAGAAAAACAUAGCGCGGAGCAAACAGACUGUACUGCAUUUGUAGUAAAUCGUUAAUUUCCGGAAAGUAGAAAUGUGGGUACCUGAAUUAUAAACUGACUAAAAAAUUCUGAAUGCUGGCAUAUUUUAAAAAAUUGAAACUGUAUAGUGAUUAUUGCAACUACAUAUGCAUCUCUUCCGCUUUAAAAUCCGGAAAAAAAAUUGUGCACUAUAAUUAAGUGGCUGGUUCUAUUUUGUGUUACAAAUAAAAAUGGACGAAUUUAUGCAAAUUCAGGAUCAUUUUCUAUGAAUUUCCAUUCGUUUGUUUUGCAUAAGGACACAGCAGCGACGUUCUUACACAGUUUAAAGUGAAAGGGAGGUUUUAUUUGUUCUGUAAAUUUACAUUCCCCUUUCCCCCUGAGACGACUAGAGAGUCAAUAGAGGCUAUGUCGUGCUUGUAAAUCUACGGCUGGUAGUAGUAACUAAUGUGUGCCUGAAGCGCAAACCACGGAAGGGUUGUGGUCGAGCCGAGAGGUUAAUUGACCCUUGCUGUUUUAGCUGUUUCAUUAGCCUCCAACUCUCUACGUGGUCCACAGUUUUCGUUGUUUAGGAGGCUCGAUAUUUAAAGUAAUUCAGGUAAACGGAAACCCUUCUUCAAGAAAAGGAAAAAUAAAUAAAUAAUUCGGUAUGUUUCUUUAGAAAUUUCAUAUUUUAUUUAUUUAUUUUUUUUUGGUUUAGGUAUUCUGCGCGAUUUAAUCAACCGAUCAAUGCAGUCUAUAAUGCAAUUUCCACACCUGUUGUUUGCUUCGUCUCUAGCUAAUUAAGCGCCUCUAGCUAUUCAAAAUUAAUAAUCGACCUCCCACCUCUCUCAUUAGUGUUUCUUUUCAAAUUCCAAAGUAUCCAUUUAUUUUUAUUUUGCUGCAAGAAACACACACACACACACAAAGCAAUUUUCAAGUGGUACCCUACUUCCAAGGGAAGUACAAAAAGAAACAGAAAACUUUGUGUUUACGAGCCAGCUGGUGGUAUAAGAAGGCAAUUUCACUUAUCAUGUGGAGUUGUGGACUGAAACUGCUGUACAUUUUGCCACAAUGUCGCUCUUGCUGCCUGUGCUAGCUGCAUGUUUCUUCAUACAGAAAUACUUUUUUUCGUCAACACAUGAACUUUUACAGAUUAACAACCUGGUGAAGUCGUAGUUUCUUCGUUGCAGUCCAAUGUGCACAUAGAUUUGUUGCAGCCAGAUGAUGGAAGAAGGUGUGAUCAAAUUGAGCUCUUGCAUGUUUCUUAAUUUCAUCAUCUCCAUGUAGCAUAUGAUUGAGCCACCACCAAAUUUUGAUUUCCUUUACCAACUGUCAACUGACGACAUUUUCAAGUUGGGCAUGGAUGGCCGGUACCAGACGUUUGAAAAUAGAAAACACCCGCAAUCCACUUGCCCUCAGUAAGAACCCAGUAGGUAUACAAGGAGAGACACCGUGAAUGUCCUUGUCGCCUUUAUUACUUACAUCUUACCAAUGGCCCAAAGCACCAGAUUUAGAAUACUUGAUGAAAUUCGUCUUUACGGUCCAUUGAGUUCCACCGUAUCACGAAGUGAAGCAUCUAGCUCAAUGUCAUUAAAGAUUUCCAUCACGGCCCCACCUGUUUGGAUCUACCCAUUGGCUAGACCUCUGUUUAUGGCUAAAUGUGUCCUUUUUCCGCACAAACGGCCUCAUAUCGUUGAGAGAAUUCUCUCUGUAAGUGGGAACCCUCUGUGCGUGUCCCGCUGAGAAGAAAUGGUGACCAAAGUCGGCAACAUGGGCAUGUACGGUAAGAACGGUCAGGGAUGUCGCCAGAGGAGUGAAGAAUGAAUAUAGUUUGGAACUUUAGUACUACAAAGCAUUACCUAGAGAGGAACGGAAAUUAAACUGUUGCUAGACGGGUACGGCCACCUCAUCUUUCUCGACUUAAGGGCACACUUUUAGGGACUUUGGGAUCUGGAGGUGAACAUCUGGAGUAAAAAUCAGAUUGAACUGUUGAGAAAUUUUAUCAAUCAGUCCAUCCAUCAAUUUGGCAAAACUGAAAUCCUGAUGGAUUUGAUCGUUGUUGUUGACAUGUAUCACAAUUUUUUCAAAUGUUUGUGGUUGGAAAAGGACAUCUGGCGGCCAGAUUUGCCUUCAGAUGUGUGAGCGUAGGCAUUCUCUGGAUUGGAGGAUAGAAAUUCUCUACUAGGCAAGCCUUUUAGACCCUACCUUCUUCGUUCACUUUUAGUUAAAGGUCACAUAGAUAAAAAAAACUU